GAUGAAGAACGCAGCGAAAUGCGAUACGUAAUGUGAAUUGCAGAAUUCAGUGAAUCAUCGAGUCUUUGAACGCAUAUUGCGCCCCCUGGUAUUCCGGGGGGCAUGCCUGUCCGAGCGUCAUUGCUGCCCUCAAGCACGGCUUGUGUGUUGGGCCUCCGUCCUCCUCCCGGGGGACGGGCCCGAAAGGCAGCGGCGGCACCGCGUCCGGUCCUCGAGCGUAUGGGGCUUCGUCACCCGCUCUUGUAGGCCCGGCCGGCGCUUGCCGACACAUCAAUCUUUUUUCCAGGAUGACCUCGGAUCAGGUAGGGAUACCCGCUGAACUUAAGCAUAUCAAUAAGCGGAGGA
RNAcentral lists this unclassified non-coding RNA (345 nucleotides) under soil metagenome. RNAcentral describes it as "partial contains 5.8S ribosomal RNA, internal transcribed spacer 2, and large subunit ribosomal RNA". The stretch from base 1 to 120 matches the Rfam family "5.8S ribosomal RNA", at positions 35 to 154 of the family's 154-position model. The record is from RNAcentral.